RNAcentral lists this ribosomal RNA (468 nucleotides) under uncultured bacterium. Its description in RNAcentral is "partial 16S ribosomal RNA". It matches the Rfam family "Bacterial small subunit ribosomal RNA", at positions 28 to 507 of the family's 1533-position model. The record is from RNAcentral.
GACGAACGCUGGCGGCGGGCUUAACACAUGCAAGUCGAACGGAAAGGCCCUGCUUGCGUGGGGUGCCCGAGUGGCGAACGGGUGAGUAACACGUGAGUAACCGGCCCUUGACUUUGGUAUAAGUUCAGGAAAGUGGGGCUAAGACCAGAUAGCAUCUGCUGUUGCAGUGUGAGGGUUGGAAAGUUUCGGCGGGCGGGGAUGGAUUCGCGGCUUAUCAGCUUGUUGGUGGGGUAGGGGCUUACCAAGGCUUUGACGGAUAGCCGGCCUGAGAGGGUGAACGGCGACCUUGGGCCUAAGAGACGCAGCAGACUGCUACGGGAGGCAGCAGUGGGGAGUCUUGUCCAAUCGGAGGGAGUCUGAGGAAGAAACGUUCCGUGCGUGAUGACGGCCUUCGGGUUGUAAACCGCAUCAGCUUAUGACCCCGCGUGAGUGACGGUACUCGGUAAAGAAGCACCGGCUAACUACGUG